Molecule: ribosomal RNA, 497 nt
Filed under: Streptococcus anginosus
Lineage: Bacteria; Bacillati; Bacillota; Bacilli; Lactobacillales; Streptococcaceae
Description: bacterial SSU rRNA
Rfam family: Bacterial small subunit ribosomal RNA
Source: RNAcentral
GACGAACGCUGGCGGCGUGCCUAAUACAUGCAAGUAGGACGCACAGUUUAUACCGUAGCUUGCUACACCAUAGACUGUGAGUUGCGAACGGGUGAGUAACGCGUAGGUAACCUGCCUAUUAGAGGGGGAUAACUAUUGGAAACGAUAGCUAAUACCGCAUAACAGUAUGUAACACAUGUUAUAUGCUUGAAAGAUGCAAUUGCAUCGCUAGUAGAUGGACCUGCGUUGUAUUAGCUAGUAGGUAGGGUAAUGGCCUACCUAGGCGACGAUACAUAGCCGACCUGAGAGGGUGAUCGGCCACACUGGGACUGAGACACGGCCCAGACUCCUACGGGAGGCAGCAGUAGGGAAUCUUCGGCAAUGGGGGGAACCCUGACCGAGCAACGCCGCGUGAGUGAAGAAGGUUUUCGGAUCGUAAAGCUCUGUUGUUAAGGAAGAACGAGUGUGAGAAUGGAAAGUUCAUACUGUGACGGUACUUAACCAGAAAGGGACGGCUA